Long non-coding RNA from Carassius gibelio (silver crucian carp), 2815 nucleotides. RefSeq lists it as uncharacterized. NCBI's taxonomy places the organism in Eukaryota, Metazoa, Chordata, Actinopteri, Cypriniformes, Cyprinidae. The transcript is spliced from 6 exons. The record is from RefSeq and is a predicted model, not a curated record.
GUUGCCAACUUAGCGGAUUUGUCGCUAGAUUUAGCGACUUUUCAAACCCCCAUAGCGACUUUUUUCCAAAAAAGCGACUAGCGACAAAUCUAGCGACUUUUUUUUGACAGACCUUAUUUAUUCUCUGAGACUCUCCAGUACUGCCGAACGAGCACAAGCGCUCGCGCUCUCUCUCUCUCUCUCUCUCUCUCUCUCUCUCUCUCUCUCUCUCUCUCUCUCUCUCUCUCUCUCUCUCUCUCCCCCCCCACAGGCAGCGCGCGCACACGCAUCUCUAUCUGCCCUGUUCAGCGAGCAGAGAGGAGCAGCACUUUCAGUUAAAAAAAGAUAUUCUGUUGCUUCAAACUCUAUUUUACAUACAAGUACAGUCGAAAUCACAGUUCAACCAUUGUCUUAAUCUUAUGUGUAUGUUAUUUCAUAGUCGUGAAUAGGAUUUUAGUGCACAGAUUAACAUCUUUGAGAGCUGGUAUGUAGUCUUAAUGGACCGCGUUUCAGUCAUUAUAAUAUUAAUUCCGUUGUCUGACAACAGAAACAUUAAAAUAUAAUAAUAAAAAACGUUUUAUUGAGAAUUUUUGCAGCAUUAAAAUGCAGUACAUGAGCACAGAAAGGGCGAGAUAAUAUGACGCACCUACGUCAUGAAUAUGGUAAUUACCAUAUGACGUCAUCUAGCGACAUUUAGCGACUUUUCAGGCAGGGUUUAGCUACUUUCCAUUGAAAGAAGUUGGCAACACUGGUAGGAUCAGCGCAGCGCGGGCUGACUGAAUUCGAGGUGGAGGUGGAUGCCACACACACGCUGUAAUAUUUGGAGAAAUAAGACCCGCUCUUGACUGUCCGUGGUGGCAAAUCCACAGCCUUUCGCUGGAGUAGAAUCAACCGUAUCUGAAGAGAGAGCUGAGGAAAUUAAACAAUGGCUGAGAAACAACACACAGCCCAUCAGCCAGGUGGAACAGUACAUCUGAAAAAUAUUUGAGGUCCUCCACGAGUUUCCUCGGCUAACUACCUCAGGCAUGAUUGCACAGGACUUUCACAUUUUACAUCAAAAUGAAGCCCCAAAACUGUUUGAAAAAUGGCUGGUAUACUGACAGGAUCUUGCUUUUUGUGAGCGAGAAGCAAAGCUUUCAUGUACAGCUGAAGAAAUGACAGAAGAUGCAAAGGGAAAUCUUGCACUAAAGCUGUUACCUGUUUUGCUUCUACCUCCACCCUACAAAAUUGGCAGAAAAACAGUCCGACCCAGCAAUGAUGAAAGCAAAAAAGCUUUCAUUGACAUUCAGCCUGUUGGAACAAAUAUGGAGUACCUCCAGCAGGCUGAAGCAUCAAGACCUUACCCUUAUGUCCUGUAACUUGAAAAUGGACACAUUGCGUCGCGGGCAUUUGUCAUCCUCGCAGGAGAAGCUUUGGAACAAAGCACUAUUGUUUAAGGGGAAGUCGUGGCCUAAUGGUUAGAGAGUUGGACUCGCAAUUUAAGGGUUGUUUGUUCGAGUCUCGGGCCGACAGGAAUUGUAGGUAAGGGGAGUGCAUGUACAGUUCUCUCUCCACCUUCAAUACACGACUUAGGUGCCCUUGAGCAAGGCAUCGAACCCCCAACUGCUCCCCGGGCGCCGCAGCAUAAAUGGCUGCCCACUGCUCCGGGUGUGUGUUCACAGUGUGUUUGUGUGUGUGUUCACUGCUGUGUGUGUGUGCACUUGGGAUGGGUUAAAUGCAGAGCGUGAAUUCUGAGUAUGGGUCACCAUACUUGGCUGAAUGUCACAUCACUUUCACUUCACUUCAUUGGGACAGUAAAUGUAUGUUUCAAAUCGUUUUAUGUUUUUGAUGUAAACUAACCGAAACAUUGUUUCUAUAUUAGGGAGUUUAUUCAUAAUAUUUUUGAGUUGGAGGGAAGUGAAUCCCCAACAGUGAGAUUUUUGCACUGGGCACUACAUUCUUGCAAGUAGAUUAUAAGAGGUUCUUUGAACAAACAGUGGUUCAAGAACACGAGGUAGCAUUUUAGUUUAAGUUUUAUUUGCACAUGAGAUUUUUGUUCUGUUUUUUUUUGUAUAAACAACUGUUUUAUUGCUUGAGGAAGAGUAUUACUUUAUGCGUACUGAUGAUUAUCAAUUACAUUUUUAUGUAGAAAUAUUUUACUGCCAAUACGUAUGUAUUUCAUAGAUUUAUUUUUGUGUUCAUUUUGUAGACUUAAAACAACAGGUCCAUAAUGUAGACUUAAAACAAAUGUGCUUUGUAACAAACAGUUCUUGAGGUAAAGAAUUUUAUGUGCUUAUGGAUUAUUUAAAAAUAAGUAUUUAUUUGUAUAUUUUAAAAAAAAACCUUGAGGUUUUUUGGACUUAAUGAAUUUCAUAAGCAUAUGGAUUAAAAAUAAUAUGAAUUAUUUUUUAAAUGUAUUACUAAACCUUGUGGUUCUUUGGAGUUUAUGAAUUCAAAUGUUUUUUUCUAAACAUUUACAGUUUAGAAAAGUUACAGAGGCAAACCAUAAAAAUGAAAGAAAUUGUUUUAAAUACUGUUUAUAAAUGGAAUUUUAUUUUUUUAGUUUUGUAUGAUCUCUUGAAUUUUUGGUUGAGGUAAAGUGUAAUUACAAAGUGUAAUAUGCUGAAAGAAAAAUAAAGAUAAUACAAUGUUGUCCUGUUUGUUUAUUAUGUGGUAUAUUUAAUGUUAAAAGGAAUAAAAAUUCCUUUGAAAAUAUAACCCAUUUAUGAAAUCAAAUUAACCCAUUAUUUUUGUAAAAAUAACCAAUUUUUGGGUAGAAAAAACAACCCAUUUGCUGGGUUAAAAUUAAUAACCCAACUUCUUGGGUUAGUUUAACCCCAUAUGGGUUCUGUCCUAU